This 75-nucleotide transfer RNA is filed under the name Rhodospirillaceae bacterium. Its description in RNAcentral is "tRNA-Thr". It matches the Rfam family "tRNA". From Rfam's summary of the family: Transfer RNA (tRNA) molecules are approximately 80 nucleotides in length. The record is from RNAcentral. Lineage: Bacteria; Pseudomonadati; Pseudomonadota; Alphaproteobacteria; Rhodospirillales; Rhodospirillaceae.
GCCGCCAUAGCUCAGUGGUAGAGCGCACCCUUGGUAAGGGUGAGGCCGAAAGUUCGAUUCUUUCUGGCGGCACCA